ACCAGGAUGGCCGAGUGGUUAAGGCGUUGGACUUAAGUUUAAAUGUACGAAUGUACGCGUGGGUUCGAACCCCACUACUGGUA
This is a non-coding RNA of Nematostella vectensis (starlet sea anemone), 83 nucleotides long. The record is from Rfam. NCBI's taxonomy places the organism in Eukaryota, Metazoa, Cnidaria, Anthozoa, Actiniaria, Edwardsiidae.